CGUAGGUGGCGAGCGUUUGUCCGGAAUUAUUGGGCGUAAAGGGAGCGCAGGCGGGAAGGUAAGUCUAUCUUAAAAGUGCGGGGCUCAACCCCGUGAGGGGAUGGAAACUAUCUUUCUUGAGUGCAGGAGAGGAAAGCGGAAUUCCUAGUGUAGCGGUGAAAUGCGUAGAUAUUAGGAGGAACACCAGUGGCGAAGGCGGCUUUCUGGACUGUAACUGACGCUGAGGCUCGAAAGCGUGGGGAGCGAACAGGAUUAGAUAC
This 260-nucleotide ribosomal RNA is filed under the name uncultured bacterium. Its description in RNAcentral is "partial 16S ribosomal RNA". It matches the Rfam family "Bacterial small subunit ribosomal RNA", at positions 526 to 785 of the family's 1533-position model. The record is from RNAcentral.